UACAGAGGUCUCAAGCGUUGUUCGGAUUCAUUGGGCGUAAAGGGUGCGUAGGCGGCGCGGUAAGUCGGGUGUGAAAUCUCGGGGCUUAACUCCAAAACUGCAUUCGAUACUGCCGUGCUUGAGGACUGGAGAGGAGACUGGAAUUUACGGUGUAGCAGUGAAAUGCGUAGAUAUCGUAAGGAAGACCAGUGGCGAAGGCGGGUCUCUAGACAGUUCCUGACGCUGAAGUACGAAGGCCAGGGGAGCAAACAGG
This 253-nucleotide ribosomal RNA is filed under the name uncultured bacterium. RNAcentral's name for it is "partial 16S ribosomal RNA". It matches the Rfam family "Bacterial small subunit ribosomal RNA", at positions 524 to 776 of the family's 1533-position model. The record is from RNAcentral.